Molecule: non-coding RNA, 183 nt
Organism: Paramuricea clavata
Lineage: Eukaryota; Metazoa; Cnidaria; Anthozoa; Malacalcyonacea; Plexauridae
Source: the annotation of a GenBank genome assembly
CACGAAACGUUUGUUCGCCACCACAGGCCACAGCAACCUAAGUUAGGUACAUUAUAUUUAUUGUAUAUUUGUGAUUUUUGAUAAAAACAAUAAAUAUUUGUGUAUAUUUAUCAUCAAUUAUAAAAAUACAAAAAAUAUAAUACAUUUAGUUAGGUUGCUGUGGUGGCGAACAAACGUUUCGUG